CUCUCACAGGCUGUUAGGAGCCCGUCCUGGUGUGGCACUGCCAGGAGCCCGGGUGUGGAUGGCCUGGGCCGGGAAGACCGUCCCGUCAGCGUCUGCUGUCGGGGAGGGCUGUUCUCUGUGUCCUAGGGGGAAAGGCAGCCCUUCCUUGCUCAGCUCCAGGAACUGAACGCCACCUGGACCCAUGAAUGUUGGUAUUUACGUUAGUAAAUGAGGCCUUGAGUAGGAGUAAAAUACUAGAGUCUUUCAUUAAAAGGGCAAAACAAUUUUUAAGAUUUCUUAGAAGAAUUAUUAUCUUUUAUUUCUGUUUCUCUUGGCUGCUAUGAGCUACUCAGUAGAGCCCUGAAAAGAGAAAGUUCUCCUCCUGACCUAACACGCGGCGUCUUCGUGAUCACUACCAUCGCGUGUGCCCUGAUAGCAAGGGUAGCUGUGGAAGCAGCUUUUCUCCCCAGGGUAGGCUGGUGACGUGCGUGAAACGCCACAUGUGAGCCGUGUCGUUACAGAAGGAAAUGAGCAGGCUACGCACUGACGCUUGAAGUAAUGAUACUGUGGAGUGAUACAAGAACCCACCCAGAGCAUUUUCUGAGGAGAAUGAUGAUAGCUUCUAAUCACCUACAAAAGAAGUAUGCUAAGAAGUUCAAAUGGGGGUCAGGUAAGACCCAAGAGCAGAUAAUCCGGCU
This 677-nucleotide long non-coding RNA is filed under the name Fukomys damarensis (Damara mole-rat). RNAcentral's name for it is "lncRNA (ENSFDAG00000025446.1)". Lineage: Eukaryota; Metazoa; Chordata; Mammalia; Rodentia; Bathyergidae. The record is from RNAcentral.